UACGAAGGGAGCUAGCGUUGUUCGGAAUCACUGGGCGUAAAGCGCACGUAGGCGGGUUUGUCAGUCCGGGGUGAAAUCCCGGAGCUCAACUCCGGAACUGCCCUUGAUACAGCAAGCCUUGAGUCCGGAAGAGGUAGGUGGAAUUCCUAGUGUAGAGGUGAAAUUCGUAGAUAUUAGGAAGAACACCAGUGGCGAAGGCGGCCUACUGGUCCGGCACUGACGCUGAGGUGCGAAAGCGUGGGGAGCAAACAGG
RNAcentral lists this ribosomal RNA (253 nucleotides) under uncultured bacterium. Its description in RNAcentral is "partial 16S ribosomal RNA". It matches the Rfam family "Bacterial small subunit ribosomal RNA", at positions 524 to 776 of the family's 1533-position model. The record is from RNAcentral.